RNAcentral lists this long non-coding RNA (790 nucleotides) under Gallus gallus (chicken). RNAcentral's name for it is "lncRNA (ENSGALG00010006560.1)". Lineage: Eukaryota; Metazoa; Chordata; Aves; Galliformes; Phasianidae. The record is from RNAcentral.
CUGGUAGGGUUGCAACAAAAUUAAAGACCAAAAUAACUUGUGUUCAAAGUUUGCAGGCAUAAAACGUGAUGUUACUUCAAGGUUUGGAUACAGACUUCAUAAAUAUUCAGGGCUGAAGGUCGCAAUGCAAAAUAUGUGGACGCAAUGGAGAGAGAAGAGGAAAUUACUUGUAGGUCAGCUGUAAUUGACAUAGAAGAGCCGAGGUCUGAGAAGAUUUGUAAGUCAGUGGAAUUUCUGCUUUGGAUGAAAUAACUCACGGUUGUAAAUCUAUGUGCUAGCACACUUCUUAAGCAAGAUACAGUACAGGGAAACUACAAAUAGUGUCUACGUUCCUUCUAUGUGGCUGAGAUUAGAAGACUGUUAACAAUAGAGAGUGGGAAAUCUGGGACUGGAACGUCAAGAACAAACCGCAGAAGAAGAGAUUGAGGAGCCCAAAACCAUACUCCGCACUUGAGGUGUGGCCUUACCAGUGCCAAGUACAGAGAGAUGAUCACCUCCUCGCUCCUGCUGGCCACACUAUUUUUGAUAUUUUUUGUAUAUUUUUGAUACAGAUGAAGAUCCCAUCGGCCUUCUUGGCAACCUGGCACCCUGCUGGCUCAUUUUCAGCAAGUUGUUGACCAGCACCUCCAGGACUAUUUCUGUCAAGCAACGUGUGAACCAGCCUUCCCCAAGCUUCGUUGUUUUGUUGCUACCCAAGUGCAGCACAUGACACUUAGCCUUGUUGAAUGUCAUUUUUAUUGGAUUUGGCCCAUUGAUCUAGUCCAUCCAGAUCCCUCUGCAAAGACUUCCU